Molecule: long non-coding RNA, 249 nt
Filed under: Capsicum annuum
Lineage: Eukaryota; Viridiplantae; Streptophyta; Magnoliopsida; Solanales; Solanaceae
Description: long non-coding RNA (CANN_LNC012639)
Source: RNAcentral
AACGCCUAUCACGUGGCGUAAGGAUACUAAGAAUCAAAAGAAGAACGAAUGGAGUAAAGUCCUAUCAUUUGAAGCGGCUACGAGACCCCAAAGUCUCAUUUAUUAUUUUUGUUUAUUUACUUAUUGUCGUCUUCAUUUAUUUAUUUAUUUAUUUCCUUAUUUAUUCAUUUGGGCCUCGAAGCCAAAGUUGUACUUAAUACAGGUGAAGCGAGACUCGAGCUAAAGGCUCGAAAACAUAGAAUUAGGACA